CCUACGGGUGGCUGCAGUGGGGAAUAUUGGACAAUGGGGGCAACCCUGAUCCAGCCAUGCCGCGUGUGUGAAGAAGGCCCUCGGGUUGUAAAGCACUUUCAGUGAGGAAGAACGCCUGGUGGUUAAUACCCAUCAGGAAAGACAUCACUCACAGAAGAAGCACCGGCUAACUCCGUGCAGCAGCCGCGGUAAUACGGAGGGUGCGAGCGUUAAUCGGAAUUACUGGGCGUAAAGCGCGCGUAGGUGGCUUGAUAAGCCGGUUGUGAAAGCCCCGGGCUCAACCUGGGAACGGCAUCCGGAACUGUCAAGCUAGAGUGCAGGAGAGGAAGGUAGAAUUCCCGGUGUAGCGGUGAAAUGCGUAGAGAUCGGGAGGAAUACCAGUGGCGAAGGCGGCCUUCUGGACUGACACUGACACUGAGGUGCGAAAGCGUGGGUAGCAAACAGGAUUAGAUACCCUUGUAGUC
RNAcentral lists this ribosomal RNA (464 nucleotides) under Vreelandella stevensii. RNAcentral describes it as "partial 16S ribosomal RNA". It matches the Rfam family "Bacterial small subunit ribosomal RNA", at positions 338 to 795 of the family's 1533-position model. The record is from RNAcentral. Lineage: Bacteria; Pseudomonadati; Pseudomonadota; Gammaproteobacteria; Oceanospirillales; Halomonadaceae.